RNAcentral lists this transfer RNA (73 nucleotides) under Cordylochernes scorpioides. Its description in RNAcentral is "tRNA-Thr". Lineage: Eukaryota; Metazoa; Arthropoda; Arachnida; Pseudoscorpiones; Chernetidae. The record is from RNAcentral.
GUCCAGGGAUGGGAAUCGAACCCACAGUGUUCUGCUAACCGGUCAGACGCCUAGUCGACUAGGCUACCCUGGA